CCCGCACAAGCGGUGGAGCAUGUGGUUUAAUUCGAUGCAACGCGAAGAACCUUACCUGGGCUUGACAUCCCGGGAAUCCCCUGGAAACAGGGGAGUGCCCUUCGGGGAACCCGGUGACAGGUGCUGCAUGGCUGUCGUCAGCUCGUGUCGUGAGAUGUUGGGUUAAGUCCCGCAACGAGCGCAACCCUUGUCUUUAAUUGCCAUCAUUUAGUUGGGCACUUUAAAGAGACUGCCGGUGUUAAGCCGGAGGAAGGUGGGGAUGACGUCAAAUCAUCAUGCCCCUUAUGACCUGGGCUACACACGUGCUACAAUGGUUGGUACAACGAGUUGCGAGUCGGUGACGGCGAGCUAAUCUCUUAAAGCCAAUCUCAGUUCGGAUUGUAGGCUGCAACUCGCCUACAUGAAGUCGGAAUCGCUAGUAAUCGCGGAUCAGCACGCCGCGGUGAAUACGUUCCCGGGCCUU
This 463-nucleotide ribosomal RNA is filed under the name uncultured Syntrophus sp. Its description in RNAcentral is "bacterial SSU rRNA". It matches the Rfam family "Bacterial small subunit ribosomal RNA", at positions 920 to 1382 of the family's 1533-position model. The record is from RNAcentral. Lineage: Bacteria; Pseudomonadati; Thermodesulfobacteriota; Syntrophia; Syntrophales; Syntrophaceae.